RNAcentral lists this microRNA (24 nucleotides) under Petromyzon marinus (sea lamprey). RNAcentral describes it as "Pma-Mir-181-P2o2_5p (mature (guide))". The record is from RNAcentral. Lineage: Eukaryota; Metazoa; Chordata; Hyperoartia; Petromyzontiformes; Petromyzontidae.
GACAUUCACCGCUGUCGGUGGGUU